UACAGAGGGUGCGAGCGUUGUCCGGAAUCACUGGGCGUAAAGGGUGCGUAGGCGGGUCUUUUAAGUCAGGGGUGAAAUCCUGGAGCUCAACUCCAGAACUGCCUUUGAUACUGAGGAUCUUGAGUUCGGGAGAGGUGAGUGGAACUGCGAGUGUAGAGGUGAAAUUCGUAGAUAUUCGCAAGAACACUAGUGGCGAAGGCGGCUCACUGGCCCGAUACUGACGCUGAGGCACGAAAGCGUGGGGAGCAAACAGG
This 254-nucleotide ribosomal RNA is filed under the name uncultured bacterium. Its description in RNAcentral is "partial 16S ribosomal RNA". It matches the Rfam family "Bacterial small subunit ribosomal RNA", at positions 524 to 776 of the family's 1533-position model. The record is from RNAcentral.